UUGCUCCCCUUAGGUCAGCGGCGGACGGGUGAGUAACACGUGGGUAACCUGCCUGUAAGACUGGGAUAACUCCGGGAAACCGGGGCUAAUACCGGAUGCUUGAUUGAACCGCAUGGUUCAAUCAUAAAAGGGGCUUUUAGCUACCACUUCAGAUGGACCCCGGGCAUUACUAGUUGGGAGGAACGGCUCCCAAGGGACGAUGCGUAGCCGACCUGAAGGGUGAUCGGCCCCUGGGACUGAACACGGCCCAACUCCUACGGGAGGCAGCAGUAGGGAAUCUUCCCAAUGGACGAAAGUCUGACGGAGCAACCCGCGGAGUGAUGAAGGUUUUCGGAUCGUAAAACUCUGUUGUUAGGGAAAACAAGUACCGUUCAAUAGGGGGACCUUGACGGUACCUAACCAAAAGCCACGGUAACUACGUGCCACAGCCGCGGAAUACGUAGGGGCAAGCGUUGUCCGGAAUUAUUGGGCGUAAAGCGCGCCAGGCGGUUUCUUAAGUCUGAUGUGAAAGCCCCCGGCUCACCGGGGAGGGUCAUUGGAAACUGGGGAACUUGAGUGCA
RNAcentral lists this ribosomal RNA (560 nucleotides) under Bacillus licheniformis. RNAcentral describes it as "bacterial SSU rRNA". It matches the Rfam family "Bacterial small subunit ribosomal RNA", at positions 80 to 650 of the family's 1533-position model. The record is from RNAcentral. Lineage: Bacteria; Bacillati; Bacillota; Bacilli; Caryophanales; Bacillaceae.